RNAcentral lists this long non-coding RNA (258 nucleotides) under Pongo abelii (Sumatran orangutan). RNAcentral's name for it is "lincRNA". The record is from RNAcentral. Lineage: Eukaryota; Metazoa; Chordata; Mammalia; Primates; Hominidae.
AUGUGUUGCAACUACUACGGCAACUCCUGUGGCUAUGGCUCCAGCUAUGGCUGUGGCUAUGGCUCCAGCUAUGGCUGUGGCUAUGGCUCUGGCUCUGGCUGUGGCUAUGGAACUGGCUACGGCUGUGGGUAUGGCUGUGGGUUUGGCUCCCAUUAUGGCUGUGGUUAUGGAACUAGCUAUGGCUGUGGAUAUGACUCUGGCUCUGGCUACUAUGGCUACUGGCCAUUUUGCUUUAGGAGAUGCUAUUCUUCCUGCUAA